GGUCUUUUUGCUCUGAAUAUGAGUGUCAAGGAGGUCAUAAUAUACACAGUUUCAGCAAGAUGACAUACUGUAGGUCACUCUGUGUCUUAAAAUCAGAUAUUAAAGUUAAUAGAGAGCUGGCAUUCACUUUUGAGCUCAUGUUUCAAAUAA
Thalassophryne amazonica is the source of this 150-nucleotide long non-coding RNA. RefSeq lists it as uncharacterized. NCBI's taxonomy places the organism in Eukaryota, Metazoa, Chordata, Actinopteri, Batrachoidiformes, Batrachoididae. The transcript is spliced from 3 exons. The record is from RefSeq and is a predicted model, not a curated record.